UUUUUUUUUUUUUUUUAAUCUAAAAAAAAGGUCCGUGGUAUUUACCAACAAAGGGGCCUUCCCGAUCAACCACAUCACCCAAAACCUGCUGCAACUUAAUAUAGCCAAAAAUUUCUCUCCUAAUUAUUUCCCAGAUAGGAAUGACAGGAUCUUCCCCAUCAAUCGCAUCGAAACAACCAAAGCAACGAAGUAUACCAAGAACAUGUUGAGGCAUUUCAGUACCUGAGGCUAAGAUGUUGUAUAUAAGGGAUUUAGCCUCCUCGUAGAACACUCUAUUCCCAGUUUUGGACAAUGCCUCCAUAAUAUGUUGA
Molecule: unclassified non-coding RNA, 311 nt
Filed under: Hevea brasiliensis (rubber tree)
Lineage: Eukaryota; Viridiplantae; Streptophyta; Magnoliopsida; Malpighiales; Euphorbiaceae
Source: RNAcentral